UUCCCAUCUCAGAAAGCACAUCUCUGCCC
RNAcentral lists this non-coding RNA (29 nucleotides) under Mus musculus (house mouse). The record is from RNAcentral. Lineage: Eukaryota; Metazoa; Chordata; Mammalia; Rodentia; Muridae.